AUGGAGAGUUUGAUCCUGGCUCAGGACGAACGCUGGCGGCGUGCUUAACACAUGCAAGUCGAACGAGAGCGUAGAGAAAGCUUGCUUUUUCUACAAUCUAGUGGCAAACGGGUGAGUAACGCGUAAACAACCUGCCCUACGGAUGGGGACAACAGCUGGAAACGGCUGCUAAUACCGAAUACGUUCCGAAAGUCGCAUGACUAUCGGAAGAAAGGAUGGCCUCUAUUUAUAAGCUAUCGCCGGAGGAGGGGUUUGCGUCUGAUUAGCUAGUUGGAGGGGUAACGGCCCACCAAGGCGACGAUCAGUAGCCGGUCUGAGAGGAUGAACGGCCACAUUGGGACUGAGACACGGUCCAGACUCCUACGGGAGGCAGCAGUGGGGAAUCUUCCGCAAUGGGCGAAAGCCUGACGGAGCAACGCCGCGUGAGUGAAGACGGCCUUCGGGUUGUAAAGCUCUGUUAUACGGGACGAAUAGUCUUGUGGUUAAUACCCAUGAGAAGUGACGGUACCGUAAGAGAAAGCCACGGCUAACUACGUGCCAGC
Molecule: ribosomal RNA, 542 nt
Filed under: Megasphaera micronuciformis
Lineage: Bacteria; Bacillati; Bacillota; Negativicutes; Veillonellales; Veillonellaceae
Description: bacterial SSU rRNA
Rfam family: Bacterial small subunit ribosomal RNA
Source: RNAcentral